GCAGAGGGCUGUAAGUGUGGUGGCCCAUCUGGGCUCUCGCCUGCAGGCAUUCUCCCCGGCCUUGUGUCGUCCAUUUAGUUGCGCACAGGAGGUGCUCCGCCGGACACCGCUGUAUGACUUCCACCUGGCCCACGGCGGGAAAAUGGUGGCGUUUGCGGGUUGGAGUCUGCCAGUGCAGUACCGGGACAGUCACACUGACUCGCACCUGCACACACGCCAGCACUGCUCGCUCUUUGACGUGUCUCAUAUGCUGCAGGUGAGCCAGGGGAGCACGCUGGCCGCCUGAUCAGGCCUUCCUCCCUGUUUACAGUGGUCCACUCCUUGGCUUUGUUUGCUGUGAACUGGAUUCCAAGGACAGCCUUCCCAGAAGAGCUAGAGGUCAUGGGGGUGUCAUGGAUAGGUCAAUGGCCCCAAGGAAAUGAGCUCAGAGGGUCUCAUCAUCUCAUCCUUCUAGCUUGCCCCCACUAAGUGGUGUGCCUUAAUGUCCCGGGUUUUCCAGGGCUGACACCCACUCUCAUGUAUUGGGCUGCGUGUUGGUUUGAAAAGGGGUUAUUUCAGGAAGGUGCUAGGUCCUGUCCAGUUCCCUGGCAGUGCCCCCACACAGAGUGACUGGGGGAGG
RNAcentral lists this small RNA (619 nucleotides) under Pongo abelii (Sumatran orangutan). RNAcentral describes it as "retained intron". Lineage: Eukaryota; Metazoa; Chordata; Mammalia; Primates; Hominidae. The record is from RNAcentral.